This is a long non-coding RNA of Callithrix jacchus (white-tufted-ear marmoset), 6473 nucleotides long. RefSeq lists it as uncharacterized. NCBI's taxonomy places the organism in Eukaryota, Metazoa, Chordata, Mammalia, Primates, Cebidae. The record is from RefSeq and is a predicted model, not a curated record.
CAUGAAUUUUCAAAACAAUUCAAUAAAAUAUAUUAUGUUAUGUGCAUAUGUUAUGUUCCGUAUGGAAAACCUCCCUGUUUGCAUAUCAGUCUUAUUCCAUUUUCUUUUAUAAAUAAAAGGUCAUUCUAAACCAACUAAAAUGUCAACACUCUUUGACAUUUUGGUGACAUAGUUAGGAGAGUCACAAAGAUGCCAAAACAAAUCUAUAAAAUCCAGUAGAUUUAUUUAUGAAAGAUUCAGAUUUUAAGAGUUAGGAAGACAAACAGCAAAACCAAAUUCCCUUGUGUUCAAGUACUUGCUAUUUUGUUCACCCACAUUAAAGACUAUAAUCCCAGUAUAUGUUAGAUCUUUUGAAUUUCCAGCCUUCCAUUUCCUUGGGUGUCAUAAUCAAAAGAACACUGAACUGUUCUAAACACAAAACACUAGCUAGUUGUAUGACACUGAGUAUAAGCCAUAAAACCAUAGCAAUUUCUCCUGAUCUGUAAAAUGCAUGUUGCACCUACUUCUUCUAUCCCACAGGAUUAUGAAAAAUCAAAUGACAAUGUUUGAGAAAGUUUUUGAAAAUAGUAAAGCACCAUGUAAAUAGUAAUUCCAUGUAAUAAUGUGGAUUCUAAGAGUCACUUAUCCCUUGCUGGCAUAACAAAUUGCCCCAAAAUUUAGUGACUUAAAACAAUUUAUUUAAUGUUUCUUAGGUCAGCAAUUUGAGCAUAGUUUAAAUCCUCUGCUUCAGAGUCCCUCACAGGCUGCAGUCAAUAUGUCUGCUGUGGCUAUCAUCAUACCAAUGCUCAACUGGAGAAAGUUCUGCUUCCUAGAUUAUUCACAUUGUUCUUGUCAGGAUCCACUCCUUGCUGGUUGCUGGAAUACAAGCCUCAAUUUAUUACUUGCUGUUGACUGAAUGCAGUCUUCAUUUUCUUGGUUCAUGGCCUUUUCAGCAUAGUAGUUUGCUUACAUCAUCAAAGUUUGCAAGCCAAGAAGGCAACAGAAAGAACACAGCAAGAUACAAGUCAUUCUUUUGUAAUCUAACCAUGGAAAUGACAUCUCAUCACUUCUGCUUUAUUCUAAUUCACUAGAGGCAAGUUACUAGGGUCAUCCCACAAUGAAGGGGAGGUGACAACACACUGGUAUAAAUAUCAGGAGGUGAGGAUCAUUGGGGGUCAUCUUGAUAGCUGCCUAACAUAUGGACCAUUCCCUACAUCCUACACAUAUCCUGGGCUUAGCUCCCUCUCAGUUGUCAUCUCAGAAUUUCCUUUUUUCUAUAAAUCCUCGCUCUAAGGCAGCUCAACCUUCAAUGCACAAUUCAAUUAAGAUCUCCUUUUGGAAAUUUUCUUAUGAAUCCUUCAGUUAGAUGGAAUCUUCCCAAUGUCUACAUUCCCAAUCAUUUGGCACACAUUUUAUUUUAGUUCAUAUGUCACCUCAUGCCUUUUGUUGUCGUGUUCAUAGCCUUCAAACCUAUUCAUGGAUCAGGGCCAGGAAGUCAGGAAUGGGGCCUUACACCUCUCCAUAUUCUCCCAUGGUAUGAAGGACAAUGUAGGCUACAAAAUGAGCCAUCUAUGUAGUUAUUGAAUUGAAUUGAGACAGUUUUUCAUGCAAAUAUUAAAACGUUAUAAUCUCUGUUCUGCUAAAGGGCUUACUGGAAGACACUAAAAAUGAAUCAAUAAUUUCAGUGCUGAAAUAGUCUUAUUUUAGGGAUUCCUGCCAGUAUUUUUGUUUUUCAAAAGAUGCCUAUAGUCUGCUCUCUAAGGGUUUUAUUCAUCGAGAGGGUGAACCUGCAGAAAAUAGUGGAAUCAUUUGACCUCAACAGUAAGGUACCAGAUUUUCAGAUGUUUAUGCAUAUUAAGUGCAUAUUUCUGUUCCAGAAGUUUUUCUUGUGGCUUCACACUUCCUGUUACAAUGUUCUAGAACAGGCUUAAUUGAGGGUGAACUAUCCUGUGAGUAUAAAGUCUUAAUGAGAAAUUGCUCAUUUAUAUUAACUUAUUAAAAAGGUCCUAUGAUAUGAGUGAUUCUUUUUCAGCUAUACAGUGUCAAUGUAUAAAUAGACCUAUACUCCCAUGAAAUCACUUAGAUAAUAGCCUGGAUAUAAAGGGUGUCCGGGGACCUAUAAAAUUAAAUUUGCAUGGUAGAAACUGAGCCAAGAAUUUUUAUAAGGUUGGGCCCAACAUUCUUAGUAUUCGAAUAUCUUACAAACUUAUAGAAGAUUAAUUCAUUUCAGUUCAAAAGAUUUCAAAUGUUCAAUUGGGUUUUACUCAAGAACAUUUAUAUGGUUGAUAAUUUGUUGAAACUGGCUCCCAUGGGUUUUGGUUCAGACUUAGUCUACUUUUCCCUUUAUUAAACUUUGUCCCCAAAAGGUCUGAGGAGAGUGUUUUUCAGGGAAGCUGACUAUGAAGUUCUUUGCAAAUUCCCCAACUCUACUUUCUACUCAACAUUGCCAUUUAUCCUGAGGGGAAUCUCAGAGGUCUAGACUAAACUUGGCUUCUCCUCAGGGCUCCUUCCCAUCAGUAUUCCCUGUAUAGGAAAUGGCCAACGUUCCAAGUUAAAUUUUUGGCUAAGUAAAUGGGACUUAUUCCAUUUGUUCAGUGGUCCAUGUGCUUCAAAACAUCAUGGGGCUUCAUUUGAGGUGUUGAGUGCCAGAAAUAGAUAGUUCACUGCAUUUUAUGCCUUAAUGUGAGAGAGGUGGGAAUUGCGAAUUUAUGGGAAAACUAAAAUUGGGCAAAAAAUGGGGAGAUAUUAUUGGAAUUUGAAAACUACCUCAUUGAUAGUUUUUAUUAUCUCAUUGGGUAAGUUAUUAUUCUUUCAUUCAUUUGGCAAAUAAUUUUUUUAGCAUUACUAUGAGUCUAGAAUUGUUUUAGUCAAUAGGAACAAGCAGUGAACCAAAAGAAGUGUUCCUGCUCUCAUGGGCCUCACAUUUAGUCAGGGAAUAGAUAAUGAAUAAAUAAUUAAGUAGGCAUACAUUAUGCCAACUGAUAAGUUAUCAGAAAUGAAAUAUUGUAAAGCAGCAGAGAGUAACAGCUGGAGGUAGGGUGGGUGCUAUUAUAGAUUAGACAGCAUUUGAGCAGUGACCUGAAGAAAAUGAGUGAGUUUAUGAGUAUUUGGGUAGGGGGAAGUCCUGAAGGGAGCAGAAAGUACUUAGAUACUUAGAUUCAUAUUUGAAUAUAUGAGUCUAAAGAUCAGGAGAGAGGUUCAGGCUAAAAGAAUAAAUAUGGACAUCCUCAGUAUUUGGAUUAUUUAAUGUCAAGAGACUGGUUGAAAUCAUUGAAGAAGCAAGUCAAUAAAGGUAAAGGAAGUCUAAAGGCCCGAACUCUGGGGCAUUUAACAUUUAGAGAUAAAGUAGUUACGGAAGGCUCCAUGCAAUAAGGGAAAUGAGGCAAUGUGUAGAAGAUUUAUUGAAACCCUAAUAUACAUGAGGCACUGUGAUAAGUCUGUGAUUCAAUGAUGAAUAAAACUGUUUCUGCCCCUGAGGAUUUCAUAGUUUACUGGUGCUUUAAUGGAGUUAUUUAUAUAGAGAGUUACAUAGAAUGUGCUCUAGGUGCAGGGAAGACAAAGCUGCUAUCUCUGCCUCAAUAUCAAAAAUAUUUUAGAAAAGAGGUGAUAUUGGAGUGGAAGAGACACACAAGAGUGAGUUUUUCAUGUAGAGCAGGGAGUGAAGGGCAUUCUGGGAGCAAGAGGUUGCAUGUACAAAAAUGUCGAAUUGGAACACAUGAAGUGUUGGUGGAAAUGCAAGGAAGCAGUAUCACCAUAGGAUAAACAGAGAGGUGGAGUUGGAGUCACAGUGAACAGCCAUCUGUCACCUAGUGGCAGUUAGUUAUCUUUCUUCAUCCUUUGAUUCCUUACUUAUAAAUUUAUAUAUCAUAGUAGUAAUAUCUAAUAAGCACAGGAGAGAAAAAAAGUAAAAAAUAUUGGGUUUGUGAGUUUGUUUUGUGCCAUCAAUUAAGCAAAGUGCCUUAAUACACAACACCAGUCAAUCCUCACAGUCCCAUGAAAUAGACAGUAUUAAACCCAUUUUACAUCUAAGAAAACAGAUUUAAAGAGAGGCUGAAUAAUUUAGCCAAGUUUUUCCAGGUAGUUAGUUGAGUGGAAGAUAGUGUGUGGAGAUUGUGAAGCAAGUCAGUAUUCAGAACUAAGUUACCUGACUCUAAACAGUAGGCAGGAAGACGUUAUGGCUAUUCAUUAACACUGAUGUUCAAGUUAGACAGUCAGAGUGAGUUCAUAGAGAAGGGAAUGGCUUUGGUGAAGUACAGAGCGACCCAAAAUUUUUCAGGUGAGGAGUUGCCAAAGAAAACUCUUUAGCUUGAAUAGAUUGGAUACAUGGCACUUACAUUCACUGAAAAAACAAAAAAAAAAAACUGGGAGCAGUAAUGAAGGACACAGCAAUUUAGUAAUCCUUGAUGACUCAAGAUGACUUAUUUAUAUCAGUUGGAUCAGUGGAGUCCUUUGCCUAUUAGCUCCAUUAAAUCUGGCCUCUGGACUUCUGGAACUUUGAUUAAGACUAUAAAAUAAAGAAUUCUUUUUUUUGUCUUCAAUUUUCUUACAACCAAAAAGACUUAGCCCCUGAUAUUUAUUUAAAACUUUAUUUAAAAUCUCUCAGCAUUAGUUUUUAAAGCAGUCCUUUCCCUCUAUCCCUCCAAAAUAGAAGCUGUUCCUGAAGGUAGUUCUCUCCUAGAAAAGGAGGACACAUAAUUUAAAUUCUGGGGAUUACCAGGAUGCAGGAAAAGAUAAGGCUUUUGAAAUGAGGUGAUUACAAUAAUUAAAAUAAAAAGGUAACUUAAAGUUUCUGAGGCUUGAAGCUGGAAAUUUUUGUACAAAGCUGAAAUUUCAAUACUCAAAUCUCUCUUCUGAGUUCCAUAUCUAAAUGUCUAUUGAGAACUUCUGUGUGAAUGGUCUCCAGGUAACUUGAAUGUCUCAGAGGCACCUUAAACUUAUCAUGUUCAAAAGUGAAAUUAUUACAGGUUUUAUUAGAACUCUCUUUUUCUUUCUAAAAGCCAAGUCUCAGUGAAAGGUAUAAACUGCUAAUCAGUUUAUACCAAAUUGGUCUUUGCCUCCUCCAUUUCCUUUAAUUCCUUCAUUCUUCAAUUCCAAUCAGCCAUCAAGUCCUGGCUUCCAUUUUCCUGAUGCAAGCUCAGCUUCCCGAGAUUAUCCAAAGUAGGAUGAAUCCUUGCUUUCAAUGCCCACUUUAGAGUGCCUGUCAUAUGAAGUAAUUAUGAGCACAGCAUGAAGUCUACAUGAGAAUCUUCUACAUGGGAUGAAAUUGAGGUGAUCAUUAAAGUUUCCACGGUGAUUGCUGUGUGGAUCUCUGAAGAAACUCUGUGUUGAGAACUGCAAUUCAGAGACCUUUGAAAAAGUCUCAUGGCUUGAUCUAGAACUCACUGGGAAAAUGCAGAGCCAGCUAUGUUACUGCUCCUGAGGCCUGGGUAAAAGCCAAUGGCCCCAAGACCAACAUGAAGGAGCACAGAGAAGACAGAGUUUCAUUCUUAUCAACUGUGUAUGCUUUUGUGUUCUUGUCUGAUCAAUAAUGGAAAGUGAGACUUGAAAAUGAAUGGAUGUUGGCUUGGUCAACUAGGAUGAUUAACAGCUAAAAUCUGGUUUGCUUUUACUGAAAAGAAACUUGAGGUAUUUGGUAUUCUUAAUGUUGGGGAGCAAUGCAUACUUAUACAUAAGUAAAUUCAUAGUGAUCAAUAGUUCAGCUGAAAUAAAAUGUCUAGAAAAAUAAAUGGCUCAUUUUAAAUAUUGAUGAGGUAUUUAAAAAUAUGAGCUCCUGAGAUUUGGGUAGCACUAAUUUGUUUUAUAGCCCCAGGUACAAUGAAUUUAAGCUUUUUGUUGUCAGAAAACAAUUAGCCCUGGAUAUUGUCUAGGCGUCAUAUUGAAUUGUUUAGAAUUUUACUUCAUUUGUGUACCUCUGUAAGUCAGUGCCCUCAAUGCAGAUGAAUUGGUUUUCUUUAUGCUCAUGGCUGGAAAUUCCAAGUGCAAUUUCUUAAGAUACCUCUUUCCAAUAGGAAUUAAUAGAAUAGAAAAAUAAUGACCAGUUUUUCUUCAUCCUAGAAAUGAUGCUGUCUUUUCAGUUAAGUUACACAAAUACAUAUCAUGAGCCUACUAUGUACAUUCAAUAUCCUGGCAAUGGAGUCUAUUGUAAAGAUCAUGGAAUAAAAUUUAUAUGGUCUGGUUUUAUGAUCCGUGUCCAGUUAUUUGCCAGAUCAGUAUCUACCAAAAAGUCAUUUUACUCCACUUCCUACAUUUACAUUGUUAUAGCAGUAAUGCCUAUCUCACAGUAAUAUGACAAACAAGAUAAUAUUUGAAAAAUCUUUGUAUCAAGGACUCUUUGUUCUUAUCAUGUGCAAGACUUUCUGCUCUGUUUUCAGAGUGUAAUUUUGCUUAUUUGUUGAAUCUAUAAAAUGAGACAAAAUUACCAUUCUUCCCAGUCCCUAUAAUUCUGUAAUUUUUCAAAAAGAGAGGCUUUCAAAAUUCACAGAAUAGGUAUUUUG